RNAcentral lists this long non-coding RNA (443 nucleotides) under Phascolarctos cinereus (koala). RNAcentral's name for it is "lncRNA (ENSPCIG00000012776.2)". The record is from RNAcentral. Lineage: Eukaryota; Metazoa; Chordata; Mammalia; Diprotodontia; Phascolarctidae.
CUCAGGGUACCAGCACCCGGACCUAAGCCCAGACUGGAAGUAGUUAGAAUUCGGAUUCACCAAGCGAGACCUUCCUCAAGCAGCCAAACAGUAUGGAAUUGUUAUCCUGAAAAGAGAAAUAUCAAAUAUCAGUCUGCCAGAUUACAAAGGGCGCUAGUAUGUUAGCUACAUUGGAAAUGUGUUCUACAAUUUUCACAGCCUGGUGAACCAGGGAACUCACCUGAGGAACUCAUACCUGGGCCUGCUACCUUGGGAGGGCAUGAAAGUUUCUAUCUCUAAUUCUUCUAUCUCUUUCACAGGGAACUGGGAAGUAACAAAGUUUUUCAUAAGUCUUGGUGGAACCUUUGAUCUGAAGAUUGAGAAUAUGUACAUUUCAGUCUCUCUGAGGUUGGGCACUGAUCAUUCAGCAAGACCCACAAUCACCAUCAGUGAUUGUAGCAGCC